RNAcentral lists this ribosomal RNA (774 nucleotides) under uncultured Neocallimastigales. Its description in RNAcentral is "partial large subunit ribosomal RNA". It matches the Rfam family "Eukaryotic large subunit ribosomal RNA", at positions 26 to 637 of the family's 3401-position model. The record is from RNAcentral. Lineage: Eukaryota; Fungi; Neocallimastigomycota; Neocallimastigomycetes; Neocallimastigales.
CGCAUCUGUGCAUGCAGCAUAUCAAUAAGCGGAGGAAAAGAAACUAACAAGGAUUCCCCUAGUAACGGCGAGUGAAGCGGGAAGAGCUCAAAUUUGAAAUCUUAAAGGGUUUCCCUUUACGAAUUGUAGUUUAAAGAAGUGUUUUCUGUUGAGGUUUUGGUAAAAGUUCUUUGGAAUAGGACAUCAUAGAGGGUGAGAAUCCCGUAUUUGACCUUUACUUUCAACUUUGUGAUACACUUUCAAAGAGUCGGAUUGUUUGGGAAUGCAGUCCAAAAUGGGUGGUAAAUUUCAUCUAAAGCUAAAUAUUGGCGAGAGACCGAUAGCGAACAAGUACCGUGAGGGAAAGAUGAAAAGAACUUUGAAAAGAGAGUUAAACAGUACGUGAAAUUGUCAAAAGGGAAGCGUUUGACACCAGUGUUGUUUUUCUGAAAAUCAAUUAAAGAACUGUUUAUGCUAAGUUGUUUAGACUUUAUCAGCUAACUGUUUAGUUUUGAGCUUUUCUUUAAUGCACUUUUCAGUUAACAAGUCAACAUCAAUUUCUUUUGCUGUAAAAAAGCUUGAGGAAGGUGGCUUGAGAUUCGUCUUAAGUGUUUAUAGCCUCUUGCCUAUGCAGUCGGAGAGAUUGAGGUCUGCAGCGUAGAUCCUUCGGGGCUAAAUGCAUUUGUGCUAAGUUAUAGCAUUUCAUAGACAACUUGUUGACUAUGAUUUGUCUUGUAGCUUACUCGCUUAUGUUAUUUUACCUACGCUUAGGAUGUUGACAGCAGUAUAGACUGU